Molecule: long non-coding RNA, 570 nt
Organism: Cyprinus carpio (common carp)
Lineage: Eukaryota; Metazoa; Chordata; Actinopteri; Cypriniformes; Cyprinidae
Exons: 3
Source: RefSeq, a predicted model, not a curated record
AAAUAAAGUUUUAUGGUGACUGAACAUGGAGGGGGGCGGCCGAGGGAUGUUUUGCCCGUUUUGUGGCAAACACAUCAGCAGCUUAACGCGGUUUUGCUUUACGUGUGGUCGGUGUUUGGAGUUUCUAAAGGACGCGGUCCAGACGGAAACACAGGGGACGUCUCGACAGCCGGACAGUGCUAGGCAAAAACUCUGUCCAUAGAACAACCAAGCCCAUCAUACAAACAGUUCAUGGAGUACAGAAGCAAAGUCAAAGAGCGGCAGUCUUUUAACUAUGGGCCAAAAGGAAGAUUUAAGCCUAAAGAAAGAAAACACGUCCAGAUAAAUGUAGGAUUGAUGGCGCCACAUGAAAAUGAUGGAACCGAUUUAAAACCUCUAAGAGGGAAAACACUCCCGUUAUUUACAGACCCGGAGGUAGCAGCACCUGAUCUACUGAAACAAGCUGUACAGAAAAUGAAAACAUUUAACAAGGACAUGCACGAAGGACCUUACAUCCUUUUGUAUCCAGACUGCUCAGAGGUGGUCCAUGUGCCUGGGUCAGAAAGGCCAUUCAAAUUGGCAGAAUAUAAA